Molecule: transfer RNA, 66 nt
Filed under: Dilophus febrilis
Lineage: Eukaryota; Metazoa; Arthropoda; Insecta; Diptera; Bibionidae
Description: tRNA-Phe
Source: RNAcentral
AUUUAAAUAGCUUAUAUUAGAGCAUAAUAUUGAAGAUAUUAUUGAGAUAAUUUUUAUCUUUAAAUA